This 497-nucleotide ribosomal RNA is filed under the name uncultured bacterium. RNAcentral describes it as "partial 16S ribosomal RNA". It matches the Rfam family "Bacterial small subunit ribosomal RNA", at positions 28 to 507 of the family's 1533-position model. The record is from RNAcentral.
GAUGAACGCUGGCGGCGUGCCUAAUACAUGCAAGUCGAGCGCACAGACUCGGAGUUUGCUCCUCUGACGUUAGCGGCGGACGGGUGAGUAACAUGUGGAUACUCUACCUAUAAGACUGGGAUAACUUUGGGAAACCGGAGCUAAUACCGGUUGAUAUACUGAACCGAAUGGCUCAUUAGUGAAAGACGGUUUUACUGUCACAUAUACAUGGAUCGGCCCAGCAUUGUCUAGUGGGUACGGUAACGGCUUACCAAGGCAACGAUGCGUAGCCGACCUGAGAGGGUGAGCGGCCAGGCUAGAACUGAGACACGGUCCAGACCCCUACGGGAGGCAGCAGAGGGGAAUCUUACGCAAUGGGCGGAAGCCUGACGGAGCAACGCCGCGUGGGUGAUGAGGGUCCUCGGAUCGUAAAGCUAUGUUAUGAGGGAAGAACAAAUGUGUAAGUAGCUAUGCACUACUUGACGGUACCUUAUCAGAAAGCCACGGCUAACUACGUG